AUUGAACGCUGGCCAGGCCUAACACAUGCAAGUCGAGCGGAUGAAGGGAGCUUGCUCCUGGAUUCAGCGGCGGACGGGUGAGUAAUGCCUAGGAAUCUGCCUGGUAGUGGGGGAUAACGUCCGGAAACGGGCGCUAAUACCGCAUACGUCCUGAGGGAGAAAGUGGGGGAUCUUCGGACCUCACGCUAUCAGAUGAGCCUAGGUCGGAUUAGCUAGUUGGUGGGGUAAAGGCCUACAAAGGCGACGAUCCGUAACUGGUCUGAGAGGAUGAUCAGUCACACUGGAACUGAGACACGGUCCAGACUCCUACGGGAGGCAGCAGUGGGGAAUAUUGGACAAUGGGCGAAAGCCUGAUCCAGCCAUGCCGCGUGUGUGAAGAAGGUCUUCGGAUUGUAAAGCACUUUAAGUUGGGAGGAAGGGCAGUAAGUUAAUACCUUGCUGUUUUGACGUUACCAACAGAAUAAGCACCGGCUAACUUCGUG
RNAcentral lists this ribosomal RNA (482 nucleotides) under uncultured bacterium. Its description in RNAcentral is "partial 16S ribosomal RNA". It matches the Rfam family "Bacterial small subunit ribosomal RNA", at positions 30 to 507 of the family's 1533-position model. The record is from RNAcentral.